This 1001-nucleotide long non-coding RNA is filed under the name Homo sapiens (human). Its description in RNAcentral is "HSALNT0245868". Lineage: Eukaryota; Metazoa; Chordata; Mammalia; Primates; Hominidae. The record is from RNAcentral.
UGCUCCUCUGAGAAUCAAAUGCCACCACUGAUCUGACAGGAGGCGGAGUUCUGCGGUAACAUGAGUGAUGAGGAGUGGCUGCAAAUACAGAUGAAGCUUCGUUUGCUCACUUCCUGUUGUGUGGCCCAGACAGGGCACUGUCUGUGGCCCCAGGGGUUGAGGACCCCUGGCUUUAACAACAGAAAGGUACCAUCUUACAGUUCUGGAGGCCAAAGUCUGAUAUCCAGACCCCAGUUACUGGAUUGGGAUCCACCCUCACUCAAUAUGGCCUCAGCUUAAUGAAAGACAUCUGCAGAGACCCUAUUUCUACUAAAAGCCACAUUCUGAGACUUCUCGUGGGCGUGAGUUUUUGAGAGACACUGUUCUGCUCCAUGCAGGGAGGGAAUUGGGAUCUGAAGACGUUGCAUUCGAGGUCUCGGGGCUCCUGAUGAGCAGCCUCGGCCUGACCUGGGGCAGGUGUGAUGUCUGCGGCUCACCAUCUCCACCCUGCCUGCUGUGGAAUCUCCACAACGACAGGUGCUUUGGAGGCCAGAGUGCAUGCGUACGGGCCCUGCACACGCUGAAUGUCACUGGGAACAAGGACACACCCCGCUUCCAGGAGAAGAUAGAACAUGUCGACCCCUUUUAGCCAUCCCCAGUGCAGGACAUGCUAUUGACUUCCAUGAGACAAACACCUACUUGGAAAUCAGGUUUUUUCUGUACCUUUUGAAGGAGCAGGAAUUUCCCAGCAUUUCCUGGACAAAGACGGAGGCCACAUUCGCUGCAUCCUUUCCAGCAAGAUGUCAUUCUGAGAUUUUUGUCAUUCCUGGGCGUUAUGAGGACUGCCAAGGGACACAAUUCCAUGGGAGGAAAGUUUUCUUCUAAGCUGCAAGCCAGCUCUGGCUUCUGGAGUUUCUCCUUAGGAUUGCAAGACAGUAGUUCCCUGUCCUUUAGGUCUUCUCCAGAAAUACCUUAAAAUAGCAAAUAAAAUAAGAUAUAAGCAAACAAAACCUGAAGUUAAC